This is a non-coding RNA of Cicer arietinum (chickpea), 356 nucleotides long. The record is from RefSeq and is a predicted model, not a curated record. NCBI's taxonomy places the organism in Eukaryota, Viridiplantae, Streptophyta, Magnoliopsida, Fabales, Fabaceae.
UAUUUAGGACUAAUUUUAACUCUCUUUUAAACCUUAUGAUUAAUUCUCCUUAAUUAUUUUGUAAAUAAUGUAGUAUGGAGCUCUUAGAAGGAAAAUUGGUGGAACAUACAAGGACUUUUUCAAAUCUUAUGUUGAAGUGGAUGGGGCAUAUGUUGAAGAGGGUGGGGUAGACAAAACGUGCAAGGUUUGCAAAAAGGACACGAAGGGUGAAAAGCAAGGCAAGUGGACCAAAACUGGCAACUUCUUUACUAGACUGUACUCUUAAUGAAACAUCAUUUGACAUGGUAUUGUAGUGGAUGGAGAAGAGACGUUUACUCAUUAUCAUUUCAAUACAAAAAGUAAAAAAUUUAGUAUAA